RNAcentral lists this ribosomal RNA (332 nucleotides) under uncultured Geobacillus sp. Its description in RNAcentral is "bacterial SSU rRNA". It matches the Rfam family "Bacterial small subunit ribosomal RNA", at positions 1047 to 1382 of the family's 1533-position model. The record is from RNAcentral. Lineage: Bacteria; Bacillati; Bacillota; Bacilli; Caryophanales; Anoxybacillaceae.
GGCUGUCGUCAGCUCGUGUCGUGAGAUGUUGGGUUAAGUCCCGCAACGAGCGCAACCCUCGCCUCUAGUUGCCAGCAUUCGGUUGGGCACUCUAGAGGGACUGCCGGCGACAAGUCGGAGGAAGUGGGAUGACGUCAAAUCAUCAUGCCCCUUAUGACCUGGGCUACACACGUGCUACAAUGGGCGGUACAAAGGGCUGCGAACCCGCGAGGGGGAGCGAAUCCCAAAAAGCCGCUCUCAGUUCGGAUUGCAGGCUGCAACUCGCCUGCAUGAAGCCGGAAUCGCUAGUAAUCGCGGAUCAGCAUGCCGCGGUGAAUACGUUCCCGGGCCUU